UUCCCUUUGUCAUCCUAUGCCUGGAGUUCAUAGUGAGGCAGGGACAGCAAAGGGAUGC
Molecule: microRNA precursor, 58 nt
Filed under: Chrysemys picta bellii (western painted turtle)
Lineage: Eukaryota; Metazoa; Chordata; Testudines; Emydidae
Description: Cpi-Mir-204-P1_pre stem-loop
Rfam family: mir-204 microRNA precursor family
Source: RNAcentral